CAAAAACAUCGCCUCUUGACAUACAUAAGAGGUCCAGCCUGCCCAGUGACUAAGUUCAACGGCCGCGGUAUCCUAACCGUGCGAAGGUAGCGUAAUCACUUGUUCUUUAAAUGAGGACUAGUAUGAAUGGCACCACGAGGGUUAUACUGUCUCCUUUUUUUAAUCAAUGAAACUGAUCUCCCCGUGAAGAAGCGGGGAUAAAUUUAUAAGACGAGAAGACCCUAUGGAGCUUUAAACAAUUAUAGCACUGGCCCACACCUCUUAUUCUUCUGAGAUAUAAUUAUUAUACAGGCCAACAUGACUAUUAGUUUUAGGUUGGGGUGACCGCGGAGCAAAAAUUAACCUCCACGUUGAACGGAGCUACUCCUGAGCUAAAAACUACAACUUUAAGCACCAAUAAACUGACAUCAAUUGACCCAAUAUAUUGAACAACGAACCAAGUUACCCUAGGGAUAA
Molecule: ribosomal RNA, 456 nt
Filed under: Dendropsophus cf. mathiassoni ABGD cluster 82
Lineage: Eukaryota; Metazoa; Chordata; Amphibia; Anura; Hylidae
Description: partial large subunit ribosomal RNA
Rfam family: Bacterial large subunit ribosomal RNA
Source: RNAcentral